Molecule: ribosomal RNA, 488 nt
Filed under: uncultured beta proteobacterium
Lineage: Bacteria; Pseudomonadati; Pseudomonadota; Betaproteobacteria
Description: bacterial SSU rRNA
Rfam family: Bacterial small subunit ribosomal RNA
Source: RNAcentral
CCAGCAAUGCCGCGUGUGGGAUGACAGGGCUCAGCCUUGUAAACCACUGUCGGACGGGACGAGAGGGACUUUUGGAGUCCUAGGACGGUACCGUCAAAGGAAGGGUCGGCUAACUACGUGCCAGCAGCCGCGGUAAUACGUAGGACCCGAGCGUUGUCCGGAUUUACUGGGUAUAAAGGGUGCGCAGGCGGCCGUGUGCGUCAGAGGUGAAAUUUCCGGGCUUAACCCGGAGGGUGCCUUUGAUACGGCAUGGCUUGAGUCCGAGAGAGGGUGAUGGAAUUCCUGGUGUAGCAGUGAAAUGCGUAGAUAUCAGGAGGAACACCGGUGGCGAAGGCGGUCACCUGGCUCGGAACUGACGCUCAGGCACGAAAGCGCGGGGAUCAAACAGGAUUAGAUACCCUGGUAGUCCGCGCCCUAAACGAUGUAUGCUUGGUGUUGGGUUUUUCGGAACUCAGUGCCGUAGGGAAUCCGGUAAGCAUACCACCUGG